ACGGGAGGCAGCAGUGAGGAAUAUUGGUCAAUGGGCGAGAGCCUGAACCAGCCAAGUAGCGUGAGGGAUGACUGCCCUAUGGGUUGUAAACCUCUUUUGUCCGGGAAUAAAAAUCCCACGUGUGGGGUCUUGCAGGUACUGGUUGAAUAAGGACCGGCUAAUUCCGUGCCAGCAGCCGCGGUAAUACGGAAGGUCCGAGCGUUAUCCGGAUUUAUUGGGUUUAAAGGGUGCGCAGGCGGGAAGCCAAGUCAGCCGUCAAAUCGCGGAGCUCAACUCCGUCCAGCGGUUGAAACUGGUUUUCUUGAGUGCGGCAGAGGAAGGUGGAAUUCGUGGUGUAGCGGUGAAAUGCAUAGAUAUCACGAAGAACUCCGAUUGCGAAGGCAGCCUUCUGGGCCGUAACUGACGCUCAUGCACGAAGGUGUGGGUAUCAAACAGGAUUAGAUACCCUGGUA
Molecule: ribosomal RNA, 452 nt
Filed under: uncultured bacterium
Lineage: Bacteria
Description: partial 16S ribosomal RNA
Rfam family: Bacterial small subunit ribosomal RNA
Source: RNAcentral